This 279-nucleotide ribosomal RNA is filed under the name Fallicambarus jeanae. RNAcentral's name for it is "partial 16S ribosomal RNA". Lineage: Eukaryota; Metazoa; Arthropoda; Malacostraca; Decapoda; Cambaridae. The record is from RNAcentral.
GAAAAGGCUUAAAUAAUUUGAAGGGACGAUAAGACCCUAUAAAACUUUAUAUUUAUAAAUGGUAGACAAUUUUGUUUUGUGGUAUUAUUUUAAAAUAUUUGGUUGGGGUGACAAGGAUAAAAUAAAAAAUAACUGUCUUUUUUUUUUACAGUGAUAUCUGGUUUAAUGAUCCUAGAAGUGGAUUAUAAGAUUAAGUUACUUUAGGGAUAACAGCGUAAUUUUCUUUAAGAGUUCUUAUCGACAGGAAAGUUUGCGACCUCGAUGUUGAAUUAAAAGUUC